This 345-nucleotide unclassified non-coding RNA is filed under the name soil metagenome. RNAcentral's name for it is "partial contains 5.8S ribosomal RNA, internal transcribed spacer 2, and large subunit ribosomal RNA". The stretch from base 1 to 120 matches the Rfam family "5.8S ribosomal RNA", at positions 35 to 154 of the family's 154-position model. The record is from RNAcentral.
GAUGAAGAACGUAGCGAAAUGCGAUAAGUAAUGUGAAUUGCAGAAUUCAGUGAAUCAUCGAGUCUUUGAACGCACAUUGCGCCCCCUGGUAUUCCGGGGGGCAUGCCUGUCCGAGCGUCAUUGCUGCCCUCAAGCACGGCUUGUGUGUUGGGCCUCCGUCCUCCUCCCGGGGGACGGGCCCGAAAGGCAGCGGCGGCACCGCGUCCGGUCCUCGAGCGUAUGGGGCUUCGUCACCCGCUCUUGUAGGCCCGGCCGGCGCUUGCCGACACAUCAAUCUUUUUUCCAGGUUGACCUCGGAUCAGGUAGGGAUACCCGCUGAACUUAAGCAUAUCAAUAAGCGGAAGA